Molecule: ribosomal RNA, 375 nt
Filed under: uncultured bacterium
Lineage: Bacteria
Description: bacterial SSU rRNA
Rfam family: Bacterial small subunit ribosomal RNA
Source: RNAcentral
GAUGAACGCUGGCGGCGUGCCUAACACAUGCAAGUCGAGCGAUCUUCUUCGGAAGAGAGCGGCGGACGGGUGAGUAACGCGUGGGUAACCUGCCUCAUACACAUGGAUAACAUACCGAAAGGUAUGCUAAUACAAGAUGAUAUAAGAGAUUCGCAUGGAUUUCUUAUCAAAGCCCCGGCGGUAUGAGAUGGACCCGCGUCUGAUUAGCUAGUUGGUAAGGUAAUGGCUUACCAAGGCGACGAUCAGUAGCCGACCUGAGAGGGUGAUCGGCACAUUGGAACUGAGACACGGUCCAAACUCCUACGGGAGGCAGCAGUGGGGAAUAUUGGCACAAUGGGCGAAAGCCUGAUGCAGCAACGCCGCGUGAGCGAUGAA